ACUGCUCAGUAACACGUGGACAACCUACCCUUGAGUUGGGGAUAAACCCGGGAAACUGGGUAUAAUACCCGAUAGUCCUCGGCUGCUGGAAUGCAUCGAGAACGAAAGCUCCGACGCUCAAGGAUGGGUCUGCGGCCUAUCAGGUAGUAGUGGGUGUAGCGUACCUACUAGCCUACGACGGGUACGGGUUGUGAGAGCAAGAGCCCGGAGAUGGAUUCUGAGACACGAAUCCAGGCCCUACGGGGUGCAGCAGGCGCGAAAACUUUACAAUGCUGGAAACAGCGAUAAGGGGACCUCGAGUGCCAGGUUACAAAUCUGGCUGUCGUAAUGCCUAAAAAGCAUUUCAUAGCAAGGGCCGGGCAAGACCGGUGCCAGCCGCCGCGGUAACACCGGCGGCUCGAGUGGUAACCGCUAUUAUUGGGUCUAAAGGGUCUGUAGCCGGCCGGAUAAGUCUUUUGGGAAAUCUGGCAGCUUAACUGUCAGGCUUUCAGAGGAUACUGUCUGGCUCGAGGCCGGGAGAGGUGAGAGGUACUUCAGGGGUAGGGGUGAAAUCUUGUAAUCCUUGAAGGACCACCAGUGGCGAAGGCGUCUCACCAGAACGGACCUGACGGCAAGGGACGAAAGCUAGGGGCACGAACCGGAUUAGAUACCCGGGUAGUCCUAGCCGUAAACGAUACUCGCUAGGUGUCGGCCACGGUGCGACCGUUGUCGGUGCCGUAGGGAAGCCGUGAAGCGAGCCACCUGGGAAGUACGGCCGCAAGGCUGAAACUUAAAGGAAUUGGCGGGGGAGCAC
This 793-nucleotide ribosomal RNA is filed under the name uncultured archaeon. RNAcentral describes it as "bacterial SSU rRNA". It matches the Rfam family "Archaeal small subunit ribosomal RNA", at positions 85 to 879 of the family's 1478-position model. The record is from RNAcentral.